UCUCUGUCACCACCUAUAUCUUGGCCCCUUCUCCACCUUCCACAUUUAGGGGAAGCAGAAAACGUACGAAGCGAGUGGCAGUCAGAGAAGACCGGGAAGGUGCCUGUUACAGGAGACCCCGUAUUGAAGACUAAAGGAAACCAGCCGACAUGAUGGUGUCCUGGAAAGCAUCGAAGAGGACGCAUUUACUCUACCCCGAAACCCACCAUGGCUACUACAGACAAGGAAACCAAGAUGCUGAGGACCAGGAUUUUUACUGGAUAUGCAUGAGGAACAUGCUGUGGAACCCAGGCCACUCCAGUAACCACCCGAGUCCAGUUCAUCCUGCUCAAAUGUACGCAUGUCUGAGCUAUCUGAUGGGACAUGAGCAACCUCCUGAUGGCCACGUUACAGAAGAGAAUGACUUUCCCUCCUCCAGCAACUGUCAGCUGCUGAGAGCUCCUUCCUCCAGCGUUGCUGGAAUACUCACUGACUUGAUCUCAUUCAGUUAACCACAACUGAUGUGAGCUGAUGUGUGCAACGUGCAUGGUCAGUCCAGAAGUCAGCCUCUCACAGACCUCCUCGUCCACCAGUUUGCACUCUCCCUCCAUGUUUCCAGGGUCUUGGGUAAGGGUGGGGGGAGGUUGAUACAGAUGAUCCAUCCACAGCGGAGCACUCGGGGUUACUUAGACUUAGCACUUAACCCUUAUGCAAAAAGAGGCUUCCUUGACCAAAGUUGACAGCAACACCAAUCUAUGAAGAUAAACAUAAAUAUUUAGAAGGUGAUUUGAUGCCUCCUAGGACUUAUCACCUCCUCAGUCAUGGACUUUUGCUCAAGUUUGCAGUAUUAGACAUAACAUCCCUCCUGUGGAGCAAGACUCACCCAGUCAGAAAGCAGUUGGUUACUCCUAUAACUGUCAGGCCGUUACUGCACCAGUGGGCACAUCUUGCCAGACAGGUUGGUAUUGUAACCUGCAAGGUCCAGAACUGAGUGAUUCCACUGAUGUCUGCAUAAUACCUUCUGGUACUAGGUAAGCUACCCGGAUUACCUUCUCUCUGUCCUGCAUCCAAAGUGAGCGGUGUCUUCGGUAAUAGAGUCUUAUCUAGUUAGAGUGGGCAACUAAGCAAUGGGAAUAGCCUGUGUUGUUUUAGGUGUCUCUGUGGCCUCUCUGACCACUAAGCUGUAGGAAGGUAGCCCUUGCCUGAGACCAAGAUUUUCACUCAGUCACUUUCAUGACUUCUCAAGGCAAAAUUAUCCAGGCCACCCUGUCUAAAUAAACAAACAAACAAACAAACAAACAAAAACAAUAACAACAAAAAACAAACAAACAAAAACCCAAAGAAACAAACAAACAAACAAAUGAAAGGUCUUAGACACCAAAGAGAAUACAAUGAAGCCCCACUUCCAUGUAUUGAUUGACAAAGGGGGUGAAGGCAACUGUACAAGUCUGGAGUACUUCUGUGAGUAAAAGACUGAACAACAGGCGUCAGCUGGGACAGAUCAGGCAAGUGAGCUGUAAAUUGAAUGUAUCUCCCUCAAACUUCUGUGUUGAAACCCUAAAUCCCGGGCUGGAGAUUUGACUCAGCUGGCACAGGGUUUGCAUGGCAUCAGAACAACAGGCGUCAGCUGGGACAGAUCAGGCAAGUGAGCUGUAAAUUGAAUGUAUCUCCCUCAAACUUCUAUGUUGAAACCCUAAAUCCCGGGCUGGAGAUUUGACUCAGCUGGCACAGGGUUUGCAUGGCAUGUCCAGAGCCCUAGGUCCCACCCCCAUGCUGCAUAAAUCAGGCAGGGUGGGACACACCUGCAAUCUAACACCCCUGGGAGUUAGAGGCUGGAGAAUAAGAAGUUCAAGGUCAUCCUUGACUACAUAAUGAAUUCUAAGCUACACAGACCACUCCAAACCCUGUCUCCAAAGAAGGAAAUGAGGGGGAGGAGGAAGAAGAGGAGCCAUAACCACGCUAAGGGGAUAGUACUGGUAGGUGUAGUCUUUUGGGAGAUGACCAGUCCAUUAGGUGGAACACUCAGGACUGGGGUUAGUAUCUUUAUCAGAGACCUAGAAGGCAAGGCUCAGCAUUCCCUGGAGAGCACAGGGAAGGCAUCUUCUCCAAACUGGGGAGCUCUCCUUGGACACCAGAGUUUCACCUUUGUAGUUAAGGUUGUACACUGUGCAGCUCCAGGAGACACCAUUCCCUCUGCGUUCUGCCGCACAGUACUACCAUGGAGCUGUACAAUGCACCUCUGCCUCACUCUCUAAAAUGUCUUGACUCUUGGCUUGCCUCUCAGCUUGGAGAUACGUGAGAACCUAGGUGAAGAUUUCCUGAGGUACACCCAAGUAAAAGUAGCUAUGUUUAUGGGUAAUUAGUGGAUAUUACUUAUGAGAAAGAAUCUUAGUUAUACAGGAAAGAUUCUUUUAUGAUAGACUUCAAGUUAAAAUUCCAUGGUUAUUAUAAAAAUGGCCUUUGAGUUGUUGGCCAGGACUGUCCAAGAGACUCCUAAAACAUAUACCCUAUGGUAAUCCUUGAUUACUCCUCAAAGGUGAAUGUAAGUCCCAUUGCUGAAGACACCACAUCCUUCAGAAGCAGGGUCCAGAGACCUCUGAGCUAGAACUGACAGCAGUGUUCCCUCCCUGGGAACUAGCUUUCACAGUACCAGAAGGCACCAUGCAAGCUUCUGAAGGAGUGAGGCAACCAGAAGGCCUACCCGGCUAUGAUGUCAACGAACCACCUCAGUGGCCCACAUGGCAAGAUAAUCCUACGGGAGAAGUAGUGACGCAUGGUAAGGCAGUAAGAACAGCUCUCUAACUGGCGUAAAACCUGCUCCACAAGGCAGAAACCAUGCCUGGUACUAGAAACCUAGCUAACUACCCAGUGCUAGUGAAAUCAAGGUUAUUGGAGAAGAACCUAAAACUAUUACUUUACUAAACCAGUGUGCUCCCUGACAACAGUCUACAAACAUUUGUCCUCAUACCCACAGAUAAGUGUAGUCUUUACCACUACCCCAUUAAAGACUUUCUGCAACAGAGAGCAGUAUAGAAAACCACAACCUAUAAACUGCAGAGCUGUGGAGCCCAGUUUCACUGGAUGCAUCUACAAAACACUCCUACACCUAAGGCUCAGGGGGCAUUGCAGAAGAGGGGGCGGAAAGACUGUAAGGGCUGGAGGAACAGGGACUUUGCGGUGAGAGUGUCUCUCCUAGUGACAUCAGAAGAUACACCCCUAAACUCUCACCAGCAUGAUUGCCCAGACGUGAGCUAAACCAGGAAGACACCAAUGCCCAUGCCAAACAAACCAUGUAGAAAGAACUACAGGCAACUGAGAGAAGCUGAGAGCCGGAGAGGUGUUUCCUCAGGGAAGAGCACACCGAUUGGUUGUACAGUGCAAAUGGUCAGCCCUGAAAACAUACACACAAGAAACAUCAUAUGGACUCAAGAGAUUAUAUUUAGAAAUACAUAUGUAUGUACAAAUACAUAUAUGCAUGCCGUAACAAUUAAAACAAGAGGCCAUACAUUAGAAGAACAGGAAGGGUUUAGAGGGAGGAAAGGGAAUGGAGAAAUGUUGUAAUUAGAUUAUAACCCCAAAAAGAAACAAAAACAAACCAACAAAAAGAAUAUGAAACAAAGCAAAUCUGUUGCUGCCAACCCUAUCUUCAGGCUGUGCAGAGCACAGGGGAAGUUAGGUUGAUGUCUAAAAGGUGCUCACGCCCGUGGUGUCCAUAUGUCAUGAUUUCCCCACUCACCCACUGAUGUGUGUGUGUUUUAGUAAGUGUGAGUGUGUCAGUCUCUCUUUGGCAUGUUGACUCUAUGUCCUUUGGUUGUCUCCCUGGGAGUACGAGAGCUCACUCAGGAUAAUCUGAGUUAGUUUCCUAUGGAGCCUGUGUGCUGCUCUCCAGCCUGUAUUUCAGUUACAGUUUAGCAGUAUUUGUGGACAAUCCUUUUUCUGCAUAUCCUUGCCAAUCACUGCUUUCAUUAUUUUUAUAUUUUCCAUUCUGACUCAGAUAGAUAAUAUCUCAUUGUAGUUUUGAUUUGCGUUUCCCCAAUGGCUAAGGAUAUUGAGUACUUUUUUCAUGAUCUGUUUUUGAUCAUUUUUAUUUCUUCUUGGGAGAGGUAUCUUUUCAGAACAUAUUUUUUCUUUCAACUAUUUGGGGGUUUUCUUGAGUUUCUUAUGUAUUCUGUAUAUGUAUCUUUAUUUAUCUAAUUUAUUUAUUUUAUUUUUACAUCCCAACCAAAGUUUCUCCUCUUCUUAUUCCCCGCCCCCAUGCCGUCUACUCCUCCUCCACUGUUUUCUUCAGACGCAAGUGGGCCCCCCAUGGAUAUCAUCCAGCCAUAGUAUAUCAAGUUGCAGUGAGACCAGGCACCCCUCUUGUAUUAAGGCUGGGUGAGGCAAUGCAGUAGAAGGAAUGGGUCCUAAAAGAAGGCAACAGAAUCAGAGACGUCCCUGCUCUCACUGUUAGGAGUCUCACAUAACGACCAAGUUACACAACUGUAACAUAUGUGCA
Molecule: non-coding RNA, 4474 nt
Organism: Peromyscus maniculatus bairdii (prairie deer mouse)
Lineage: Eukaryota; Metazoa; Chordata; Mammalia; Rodentia; Cricetidae
Source: RefSeq, a predicted model, not a curated record